UAACGCGAAGAACCUUACCAAGGCUUGACAUACACGAGAACGGGCCAGAAAUGGUCAACUCUUUGGACACUCGUGAACAGGUGGUGCAUGGUUGUCGUCAGCUCGUGUCGUGAGAUGUUGGGUUAAGUCCCGCAACGAGCGCAACCCUCGUUCUAUGUUGCCAGCGCGUAAUGGCGGGAACUCAUAGGAGACUGCCGGGGUCAACUCGGAGGAAGGUGGGGAUGACGUCAAAUCAUCAUGCCCCUUAUGUCUUGGGCCUCACGCAUGCUACAAUGGCCGGUACAAAGGGCUGCGAUACCGUAAGGUGGAGCGAAUCCCAAAAAGCCGGUCUCAGUUCGGAUUGAGGUCUGCAACUCGACCUCAUGAAGUCGGAGUCGCUAGUAAUCGCAGAUCAGCA
This 397-nucleotide ribosomal RNA is filed under the name uncultured bacterium. RNAcentral describes it as "bacterial SSU rRNA". It matches the Rfam family "Bacterial small subunit ribosomal RNA", at positions 957 to 1354 of the family's 1533-position model. The record is from RNAcentral.